AUGAUGAUUGCCGCCUCUCUUCCGCCUCACUUCUGGGUUGAGGCUGUUACCACUUCAACCUAUCUCAUCAACAUUCAGCCUUCUACUGCUCUACAGGGUGGUGUUCCUCUCGAGCGUCUUUCUGGUCAUCCUCCUGAUUAUUCGGCGCUUCGUUUGUUUGGUUGUGUCUGCUAUGUUUUGCUUGCCCCUUGUGAGCGCACCAAACUGACCGCUCAGUCUGUUGAGUGUGUCUUUCUCGGAUACAGUGAUGAGCAUAAGCGCUAUCGGUGUUGGGAUCCCGUCGGUCGUUGGAUGCGUAUUUCCGAGAUGUGA
RNAcentral lists this ribosomal RNA (312 nucleotides) under Triticum aestivum (bread wheat). Its description in RNAcentral is "partial small subunit ribosomal RNA". Lineage: Eukaryota; Viridiplantae; Streptophyta; Magnoliopsida; Poales; Poaceae. The record is from RNAcentral.